GACGAACGCUGGCGGCGUGCUUAACACAUGCAAGUCGAACGGAAAGGCCCUGCUUUUGUGGGGUGCUCGAGUGGCGAACGGGUGAGUAACACGUGAGUAACCUGCCCUUGACUUUGGGAUAACUUCAGGAAACUGGGGCUAAUACCGGAUAGGAGCUCCUGCUGCAUGGUGGGGGUUGGAAAGUUUCGGCGGUUGGGGAUGGACUCGCGGCUUAUCAGCUUGUUGGUGGGGUAGUGGCUUACCAAGGCUUUGACGGGUAGCCGGCCUGAGAGGGUGACCGGCCACAUUGGGACUGAGAUACGGCCCAGACUCCUACGGGAGGCAGCAGUGGGGAAUAUUGCACAAUGGGCGGAAGCCUGAUGCAGCAACGCCGCGUGCGGGAUGACGGCCUUCGGGUUGUAAACCGCUUUCGCCUGUGACGAAGCGUGUGUGACGGUAAUGGGUAAAGAAGCACCGGCUAACUACGUGCCAGCAGCCGCGGUGAUACGUAGGGUGCGAGCGUUGUCCGGAUUUAUUGGGCGUAAAGGGCUCGUAGGUGGUUGAUCGCGUCGGAAGUGUAAUCUUGGGGCUUAACCCUGAGCGUGCUUUCGAUACGGGUUGACUUGAGGAAGGUAGGGGAGAAUGGAAUUCCUGGUGGAGCGGUGGAAUGCGCAGAUAUCAGGAGGAACACCAGUGGCGAAGGCGGUUCUCUGGGCCUUUCCUGACGCUGAGGAGCGAAAGCGUGGGGAGCGAACAGGCUUAGAUACCCUGGUAGUCCACGCUGUAAACGGUGGGUACUAGGUGUGGGGUCCACUCCACGGGUUCCGUGCCGUAGCUAACGCUUUAAGUACCCCGCCUGGGGAGUACGGCCGCAAGGCUAAAACUCAAAGGAAUUGACGGGGCCCCGCACAAGCGGCGGAGCAUGCGGAUUAAUUCGAUGCAACGCGUAGAACCUUACCUGGGUUUGACAUGGAUCGGGAGUGCUCAGAGAUGGGUGUGCCUCUUUUGGGGUCGGUUCACAGGUGGUGCAUGGCUGUCGUCAGCUCGUGUCGUGAGAUGUUGGGUUAAGUCCCGCAACGAGCGCAACCCUUGUUCACUGUUGCCAGCACGUUAUGGUGGGGACUCAGUGGAGACCGCCGGGGUCAACUCGGAGGAAGGUGGGGAUGACGUCAAGUCAUCAUGCCCCUUAUGUCCAGGGCUUCACGCAUGCUACAAUGGCUGGUACAGAGAGUGGCGAGCCUGUGAGGGUGAGCGAAUCUCGGAAAGCCGGUCUCAGUUCGGAUUGGGGUCUGCAACUCGACCUCAUGAAGUCGGAGUCGCUAGUAAUCGCAGAUCAGCAACGCUGCGGUGAAUACGUUCCCGGG
RNAcentral lists this ribosomal RNA (1343 nucleotides) under uncultured bacterium. RNAcentral describes it as "16S ribosomal RNA". It matches the Rfam family "Bacterial small subunit ribosomal RNA", at positions 28 to 1378 of the family's 1533-position model. The record is from RNAcentral.